CCUACGGAGGCAGCAGUGGGGAAUAUUGGACAAUGGGCGAAAGCCUGAUCCAGCCAUGCCGCGUGUGUGAAGAAGGCCUUCGGGUUGUAAAGCACUUUCAGUGGGGAAGAAAGCCUUGGGGCUAAUACCCUCGAGGAAGGACAUCACCCACAGAAGAAGCACCGGCUAACUCCGUGCCAGCAGCCGCGGUAAUACGGAGGGUGCGAGCGUUAAUCGGAAUUACUGGGCGUAAAGCGCGCGUAGGCGGUCUGAUAAGCCGGUUGUGAAAGCCCCGGGCUCAACCUGGGAACGGCAUCCGGAACUGUCAGGCUAGAGUGCAGGAGAGGAAGGUAGAAGUCCCGGUGUAGCGGUGAAAUGCGUAGAGAUCGGGAGGAAUACCAGUGGCGAAGGCGGCCUUCUGGACUGACACUGACGCUGAGGUGCGAAAGCGUGGGUAGCAAACAGGAUUAGAUACCCUGUAGUC
Molecule: ribosomal RNA, 463 nt
Filed under: Vreelandella stevensii
Lineage: Bacteria; Pseudomonadati; Pseudomonadota; Gammaproteobacteria; Oceanospirillales; Halomonadaceae
Description: partial 16S ribosomal RNA
Rfam family: Bacterial small subunit ribosomal RNA
Source: RNAcentral